UACGAGGGGUGCAAGCGUUGCUCGGAAUUAUUGGGCGUAAAGGGUAGGUAGGUGGUCUCAUUUGUCUGAGGUGAAAGCCUUGAGCUUAACUCAAGAAGUGCCUUAGAAACGGUGAGACUGGAGUCCUGGAGAGGGUCGUGGAAUUCCCGGUGUAGCGGUGAAAUGCGUAGAGAUCGGGAGGAACACCAGCGGCGAAGGCGGCGACCUGGACAGGUACUGACACUCAACUACGAAAGCGUGGGUAGCAAACAGG
Molecule: ribosomal RNA, 253 nt
Filed under: uncultured bacterium
Lineage: Bacteria
Description: partial 16S ribosomal RNA
Rfam family: Bacterial small subunit ribosomal RNA
Source: RNAcentral